CUAGGAGAACCGAAAACCGUUCUAGACUGACCUGCGGUUUUAUAGCACUUUGGCAGUCAACUUCAGCUUGUGUCAGAGCAGACACGACAGAGCUGCUGCCCAACGCUCAAUCGCGGGACGCCACCUCCUCAGACUCACUGCAGCCCCCCCCCGCCCUUGCAUUUUCAAUAAAUUUCAAACCUUGGGGCUAGAAAUGGGGAGCAGAGCUG
This is a non-coding RNA of Opisthocomus hoazin, 209 nucleotides long. Lineage: Eukaryota; Metazoa; Chordata; Aves; Opisthocomiformes; Opisthocomidae. The record is from Rfam.